RNAcentral lists this unclassified non-coding RNA (323 nucleotides) under soil metagenome. RNAcentral describes it as "partial contains 5.8S ribosomal RNA, internal transcribed spacer 2, and large subunit ribosomal RNA". The stretch from base 1 to 120 matches the Rfam family "5.8S ribosomal RNA", at positions 35 to 154 of the family's 154-position model. The record is from RNAcentral.
GAUGAAGAACGCAGCGAAAUGCGAUAAGUAGUGUGAAUUGCAGAAUUCAGUGAAUCAUCGAAUCUUUGAACGCACAUUGCGCCCCUUGGUAUUCCAUGGGGCAUGCCUGUCCGAGCGUCAUUUGUACCUUCAAGCUUUGCUUGGUGUUGGGUGUUUGUCCUGAGGGACUCGCCUUAAAGUAAUUGGCAGCCAGUGUUUGGUUUUGAAGCGCAGCACAAGUCGCGAUUCAAAGCUAUACGCCCGCUUCCACAAGCCUUUUUCACUUUUGACCUCGGAUCAGGUAGGGAUACCCGCUGAACUUAAGCAUAUCAAUAAGCGGAGGA